GGGGCUAAUACCGGAUAAUAUUUUGAACUGCAUAGUUCGAAAUUGAAAGGCGGCUUCGGCUGUCACUUAUGGAUGGACCCGCGUCGCAUUAGCUAGUUGGUGAGGUAACGGCUCACCAAGGCGACGAUGCGUAGCCGACCUGAGAGGGUGAUCGGCCACACUGGGACUGAGACACGGCCCAGACUCCUACGGGAGGCAGCAGUAGGGAAUCUUCCGCAAUGGACGAAAGUCUGACGGAGCAACGCCGCGUGAGUGAUGAAGGCUUUCGGGUCGUAAAACUCUGUUGUUAGGGAAGAACAAGUGCUAGUUGAAUAAGCUGGCACCUUGACGGUACCUAACCAGAAAGCCACGGCUAACUACGUGCCAGCAGCCGCGGU
RNAcentral lists this ribosomal RNA (377 nucleotides) under Bacillus sp. 15R-2. Its description in RNAcentral is "bacterial SSU rRNA". It matches the Rfam family "Bacterial small subunit ribosomal RNA", at positions 159 to 521 of the family's 1533-position model. The record is from RNAcentral. Lineage: Bacteria; Bacillati; Bacillota; Bacilli; Caryophanales; Bacillaceae.